This is a long non-coding RNA of Vidua chalybeata, 265 nucleotides long. RefSeq lists it as uncharacterized. NCBI's taxonomy places the organism in Eukaryota, Metazoa, Chordata, Aves, Passeriformes, Viduidae. The record is from RefSeq and is a predicted model, not a curated record. The transcript is spliced from 2 exons.
GAGAAAGGCCUCUGCAUCCUGCUGGACCACUCUGAUUUUCCUGUCCCUACUUGAAUGGAAUGGAAGAUCUGUUUCGGAGAAGAACAGUAUUGGAGAAACCUGCACUAGUGUUUCAGACCCUUUAAAUGACUCAGCUACCACCACAUCAUAACAGAACACAGCCCCUCAGUUCCUGCUGUGCUCCAUUGUCAUUAGCAGAGUUCCUUCUUUUCCUUGUAUGAAUUCAUUUCAAAAUCUAAAUCAAAAUAAAAAUUCAUUCACCUUU